UACAGAGGUCCCAAGCGUUGUUCGGAUUCAUUGGGCGUAAAGGGUGCGUAGGUGGCGCCGUAAGUCAGGUGUGAAAUCUCGGGGCUUAACUCCGAAACUGCAUUUGAUACUGCGGUGCUUGAGGACUGGAGAGGAGACUGGAAUUCAUGGUGUAGCAGUGAAAUGCGUAGAGAUCAUGAGGAAGACCAGUGGCGAAGGCGGGUCUCUGGACAGUUCCUGACACUGAGGCACGAAGGCCAGGGGAGCAAACGGG
This 253-nucleotide ribosomal RNA is filed under the name uncultured bacterium. Its description in RNAcentral is "partial 16S ribosomal RNA". It matches the Rfam family "Bacterial small subunit ribosomal RNA", at positions 524 to 776 of the family's 1533-position model. The record is from RNAcentral.